Molecule: long non-coding RNA, 1335 nt
Organism: Scylla paramamosain (green mud crab)
Lineage: Eukaryota; Metazoa; Arthropoda; Malacostraca; Decapoda; Portunidae
Exons: 3
Source: RefSeq, a predicted model, not a curated record
GUCUGUCAGAUAAUGAGAGUAGACAACAUAAGCAACAUAAUGAGAGACAAAGUCACAAUAAUAGAAUAAAAUGAAGGCACUCAAGUAUUAAUGAGAAAACAAAACAGAAUAAUAAGCAAAGUAAAAUAAUGAGACAAUAAGGCCAGUCAACAAAUAAUAGUGAAUUUACUGUAGGAAGGGUCUGUUGUACUACCUACUUAAUGACCAUUCAAGUCUACUUGUUAAAGAUGUGUUUACACUUUGAAGUGUCAUUUUCUUGUACUAUGAUACAUUUUUUACUAUUUUCUUCCACCUGCCUUAAUUAACAUUGAGUAGAGUCUCACUAAUACAACUUGAAUAUUACUCAGCCGGCAGUCUUUGCCAUGGUGGAGUGUGACACUGAAUCAGUACUGACAUUUUAUCAUUUACAUUUCAUUACUUUGAUUACUCAACAAAAUACUGCAUUGUUUUUUGUAACCUGCUGACUGAUGAAGGGACAAUGUGUGCUCCUCAACACUUGGUUCUUGCCACGUGCCGCAGCAGACUGACAGCUUCCAGUGGGCCUGUCUGAGGGGCGUGACCUCCGCCGCAUUGCUUCAGCAGCCUUCAAGUCCCGGCAAUGAAACGGUUCGUGUGAGGAAGACUGCUUCUGGUGCUACUGGUGGAAAUUGUUACUAGUGUCGUGGUGGCAGCACGGGCCUCGGCACUCCCUGGCACCACGGCAGGUGUCAGUGAGGCAGGCAGGUGUUGGUUCAAGUCCUGGCAGUGUCACUUCGCUGCUGUAUUGUUUGGUGCAGCGGAUGAUGCUACGUUUUUCAUCACUUAGUGUAGAGUCUAUUUUUGCUUGACGUUAUUUGUGUUGGUAAGGCAUUUCCACUAUAUAGUGGUAGAUAUUCUGGGAAAUAAGGAAUUAGCAAUACUAAGACAUGCUUGAACAACACUCACCAGUGUGGAAGACUUGUCAGGCAGUGGCUGUAGUGGCUUCACUUGAACCACGACCAUGUUCUCCUCAACCCUUGGAAAGAGAACAAUUCAUCUGAAAUGGAGAUACAAAGAUAUUGGGGAAAAUUUAAGAGAGAGACGCUGCAAAGUGUAGCUGACAGUGUGCGUGUCGUCAUCAAGAGGAGGGGCUCUAAAAUGAAACAGUAGGACACUCGUGAAGACAUUCAUACUAUCUUUUCUCAAGGGAAGAGUGUGUCGUGUGUGUUAACAACGUCAGGCGCGGACAUUUUUUGCAUCAAGGGUGAUGUACGAUCCGGACAUGAAAAAAGUUUUUUUCUUUUAUAAUUUUCUAAUUUUUUUCCGCUUCUUUUGAUAUAUGUAACGUUUUGAUAAGAACUAAAAAAAAUCCCCUUA